AUUGAACGCUGGCGGCAGGCCUAACACAUGCAAGUCGAGCGGAUGACGGGAGCUUGCUCCUUGAUUCAGCGGCGGACGGGUGAGUAAUGCCUAGGAAUCUGCCUGGUAGUGGGGGACAACGUUUCGAAAGGAACGCUAAUACCGCAUACGUCCUACGGGAGACAGCAGGGGACCUUCGGGCCUUGCGCUAGCAGAUGAGCCUAGGUCGGAUUAGCUAGUUGGUGGGGUAAUGGCUCACCAAGGCGACGAUCCGUAACUGGUCUGAGAGGGAUGAUCAGUCACACUGGAACUGAGACACGGUCCAGACUCCUACGGGAGGCAGCAGUGGGGAAUAUUGGACAAUGGGCGAAAGCCUGAUCCAGCCAUGCCGCGUGUGUGAAGAAGGUCUUCGGAUUGUAAAGCACUUUAAGUUGGGAGGAAGGGCAGUAAGCUAAUACCUUGCUGUUUUGACGUUACCGACAGAAUAAGCACCGGCUAACUCUGUGCCAGCAGCCGCAGUAA
Molecule: ribosomal RNA, 501 nt
Filed under: uncultured bacterium
Lineage: Bacteria
Description: partial 16S ribosomal RNA
Rfam family: Bacterial small subunit ribosomal RNA
Source: RNAcentral